AUCGAACGCUGGCGGCAGGCCUAACACAUGCAAGUCGAACGAGUGGCGGACGGGUGAGUAAUGUCUGGGAAACUGCCCGAUGGAGGGGGAUAACUACUGGAAACGGUAGCUAAUACCGCAUACCAUCGGAUGUGCCCAGAUGGGAUUAGCUAGUAGGUGGGGUAAAGGCUCACCUAGGCGACGAGCCCUAGCUGGUCUGAGAGGAUGACCGGCAACACUGGAACUGGGACACGGCCCAGACUCUGACGGGGGGAAGCAGUGGGGAAUAUUGCAAAAUGGGCGCAAGCCUGAUGCAGCAAGGCCGCGUGUAGGAAGAAGGCCUUCGGGUUGUAAAGUACGUUCAGCGGGGAGGCGUUACCCGCAGAAGAAGCACCGGCUAACUCCGUGCCAGCAGCCGCGGUAAUAC
Molecule: ribosomal RNA, 406 nt
Filed under: uncultured bacterium
Lineage: Bacteria
Description: partial 16S ribosomal RNA
Rfam family: Bacterial small subunit ribosomal RNA
Source: RNAcentral